This 72-nucleotide transfer RNA is filed under the name Fidelibacterota bacterium. Its description in RNAcentral is "tRNA-Asn". It matches the Rfam family "tRNA". Rfam says of the family: Transfer RNA (tRNA) molecules are approximately 80 nucleotides in length. Their secondary structure includes four short double-helical elements and three loops (D, anti-codon, and T loops). Further hydrogen bonds mediate the characteristic L-shaped molecular structure. tRNAs have two regions of fundamental functional importance: the anti-codon, which is responsible for specific mRNA codon recognition, and the 3' end, to which the tRNAs corresponding amino acid is attached (by aminoacyl-tRNA synthetases). tRNAs cope with the degeneracy of the genetic code in two manners: having more than one tRNA (with a specific anti-codon) for a particular amino acid; and 'wobble' base-pairing, i.e. permitting non-standard base-pairing at the 3rd anti-codon position. The record is from RNAcentral. RNAcentral also lists the same sequence under 2 other names. Lineage: Bacteria; Pseudomonadati; Fidelibacterota.
UCCGGAGUAGCUCAAUGGUAGAGCGGGUGGCUGUUAACCACUAGGUUGGGGGUUCGAGUCCCUCCUCCGGAG